GUUGUCAAUCUUCGCUCAUGUAUCUAAAAGAAAACCAGUCGACAAAAACUCCAAAAAUUUUUGCAAAAUUUUGUCCGUUACUAAAAUAUCUCCAAAAAAUUUUUAGGGGAUUUUUUUUUUUGAAAGGAAAGUAAACGUAAUGUGCGUAUUUUAAACGUUGUGAUGGAAACACUCAUAUUUCAACUUUAGCAGACGAUUUUUCAAAUAUUUCUUCAGCGGCCUCAUCCGUGAGUAUUAUUCAGUCAUAAACGAAGGUUAAUUUUUAGUGUUUUGAAUUAUGCGCCACCGAAAAAAAGUUUGGUCUUACUGAACUUUUUUCUCGGUGAUGGUAAACAAAAUAAUUUGGGAAGAAACUCACGUAAUUUGGCGGGUGGACUGUUGGGCGCAGAUGCAACUUGAGAUAUCACAGCACAACACAGGAAAAUGAUCGAAGACCUUACGGGGAGCAUGUUUGCAAGAGGGAGUUAACUGACACCACGCGUAAACAGGGACAACAGGGAUGAUCACUUGCGGGUCAAGCACGAGUCAGCGUCUCACCGGCUGGUGUAAGUCCGCUAUUAGCACGAUUAGCGAACACCGAACACUCACCGACUGCGACUGAAGACGUGCUCACUCAGAUACGGCGCGACCACGGCGAAGAUUGAUGAGUUAAAACAACAUUUUUCAAUGGCCUGAUGAUGGACGAUUUAAGUCGAGAAGAGCUGAUCACCAAAUGCAAGCAUUAUUUGUCUCUCGCUCAAAAAGCCAAGCAAGCCAAAGAUGAAGCACUGAAGAAAUUAGAUGAUCUAGAUGUAGAAUUGAAAAAUUUCAAAAUGCUGAUAAGGUCAGUAACUCCUUUUCUUCUCGUUUGAAUUCUAAAUUAAGUGCUUAAAAUACUAUACCAUUCAGCGUAACAUUUUGUCAACAGCUCGUCACCUCCAUUGAGUGGUUGCAAGAACUCAUGAUUAUUAUUUUCUCCAUUUAAGGCGCAUAAGUAUUACCUAUUAGGUCAAAGAUUAUCCACUUUCAAAUUGGUACGUACAAUAGACUCUAACGUAUUAUGUGUCACAAAGGCUGUCCCAAAAUAACUGAGAUUGAUUCUGC
Molecule: long non-coding RNA, 1083 nt
Filed under: Bemisia tabaci
Lineage: Eukaryota; Metazoa; Arthropoda; Insecta; Hemiptera; Aleyrodidae
Description: lncRNA ENSSSA3NGG000829
Source: RNAcentral